This 2985-nucleotide long non-coding RNA is filed under the name Carica papaya (papaya). RNAcentral describes it as "long non-coding RNA (CPAP_LNC012286)". Lineage: Eukaryota; Viridiplantae; Streptophyta; Magnoliopsida; Brassicales; Caricaceae. The record is from RNAcentral.
GAGCUCAGGUUACAACUGAGGCGCCGGCUAAGGUUGUGAAAGAGUCCAAGAAGCAGGACGAAGGAGUGGUGACUAACAAGUACAAACCUAAGGAACCCUAUGUUGGGAGGUGCCUUCUGAAUACCAAGAUCACUGGUGAUGAUGCUCCUGGAGAAACUUGGCACAUGGUCUUCAGCACUGAAGGUUUAAUAUAUGGAUGAAACUCUCAAUGGUUUCUCUUUCUUUCAAAUUAUUCACAUGUCCACUCACUCCAUGUUUAUGACAUAAAUCCUGAGAGAAUGUAAUUUCGUCUCUGAACUGAUAAUUAUGUGGAGUAAGUAUAAGAUUACAACUUAGUAGAUUAUUGAUUGAGCCAAUUACUAGUAGCUUUGACCAUAUAUAUGCUAAAUUAUUUAACAAGAACAAGAAAAGUGUUUCGAUUCUAUUUUGAAUUCAAGAUAGUGAUAUUUUUAAUUCCUAACUAGUUAAGUAACCUUAGGAAUUAGAAAUCCAUGAUUCAUGAUGAAAUUAAAGGUAUUCAUAUAUGUAUGUAUACAGGUACAUAUAUGAUAUAAUUCUAGAUGUAUUACAAGAGUAUUUUCACUGCAAAGUAAAGUGUUGGAAUUGAACAAAUUGAACUGGUAGGAGUUUGAUGAUUUCUGUUGAUUAGAUCAUGAUAAGGGUGUUGGUUAAGUUGAACUGAUUAGAUUUGUUGGGUUGAUUAGGAGAGGUUCCCUACAGAGAAGGGCAGUCCAUUGGGGUGAUUGCAGAUGGUGUUGACAAGAACGGGAAGCCUCACAAACUGAGGUUGUAUUCAAUUGCCAGCAGUGCUCUUGGUGAUUUUGGAGAUUCCAAGACUGUAAGCUCAAAAUGUUGCAAAUAUAUUUUCUUUUAUUUAUGAAUUCUGUAUUGAGCUUACAUAAUAAUUUGCAUAUUCUCCUAUCUAUUUGCAGGUUUCUCUGUGUGUGAAACGACUUGUUUACACAAAUGAGCAAGGAGAAAUCGUCAAAGGAGUUUGCUCAAAUUUCUUGUGUAAGGAUGAAGCAAAUUAGGGAUAAACUUCUAAGAAUGUUUGACAAGGAACAGUUCUUCAUUAAGGCAGACCUGAUUAGUGAUUAAAAUGGCUUUUGGUUUCUCCUUUUCAGGUGACUUGAAACCUGGGGCUGAAGUAAAGAUUACAGGACCUGUUGGGAAAGAAAUGCUUAUGCCAAAAGAUCCCAAUGCCACAAUCAUUAUGGUUUUACACGAUUAAACAUUUUUUUUUUCGAGGAUCAUGCAGUACUUAUCUAUUGCUUUUUCUCACCCAGUUUUUUUUCUUCUGAAUGCAGCUUGCGACAGGAACUGGUAUUGCCCCUUUCCGGUCAUUUUUGUGGAAAAUGUUCUUUGAGAAGCAUGAAGAUUACAAGGUAUAAGAAAGAUGAAGCCUGGUUUUUUUUUUUUUUUUUCUUUUUUUCCCUUUUGGUUCCUAACUGACCAUUAAGGAAUUAUCAAUAUAUCAUACACUAUCAUUUACGAAAGAUAAUUGACAAGCAUUGAGAGUUGUCCUCUACCUAAUGCAAAGACAUUGAUUACUUUCUCGCUUGCGACAUGAAUAUAGAUGAGUAUGCUGAUGACUUAUGUAAAGACUUAGGUUAUGUUUGGUUCAAUUGCCUUUCAAAUUGAGAGUUGAAUUCAUAUUGUCAAGGAAUUCAAAGUAUAAGCAAUAGUAAAAUAAAAUAAAUUGUAUUCUAUAAUUAUGAGAAUUAGUAUUUUAGUAAUUGAUUGAAAAUUCAACAAGAAUUGAACCAAACACAUUGCUGUGUCUUCUUUCAAACAUUGUCUGAAAAUGGUGCUUAUAAAUCAAGACUCCUGCCUAUUUUCUACUUGUCAAGUAAUUGGUUUCUCAUUAAUGUAUGAAAGUCUCAGCAUAAUUGGUCAGGUAAAUUUACUAUAUUUCGAGUGCCUUAUUUCUUUUUCUUUUUCUUUUCCUGCCAUAAGCAAUCUAUUAUUAGAUGAUUACUGAUUUAGCUUUUGACAUUAUGAUUUUAGUUCAAUGGUUUGGGAUGGCUGUUCUUGGGUGUCCCAACAAGCAGUUCUCUGCUUUACAAGGAGGUAAACUAGACAAAAAAAAACUUUCCUUACUAGCAGGAUGCUUUAGUUUCAAUUUCCUACUGUCUUUUAGCAUUAAACAGUUGCUCAAUCUGCUGAGACUUACGCUGAGCUUCCUCGAGUCAGGAAUUUGAGAAGAUGAAGGAGAAGUAUCCUGACAACUUCAGGCUUGACUUCGCUGUGAGCAGAGAGCAAACUAACGAAAAGGGAGAAAAGAUGUAUAUUCAAACCAGGAUGGCUCAGUAUGCAGAAGAGCUAUGGGAGUUACUCAAGAAGGAUAGCACCUAUGUUUACAUGUGUGGAUUGAAGGGGAUGGAGAAGGGAAUUGAUGACAUAAUGGUCUCUUUGGCUGCUAAAGACGGUAAGUGUAUAGUAAACCAUACAUUAAUAAGAGAGUAUAAACUGUUCCAGAAGCACAGAUAUGUUAGCAGACCCCAUGUAUAUGAUUGGUGCAUUUCAAAUUUUCGUAGUAAUCCACUUAUAUUUAUUGGGUUUUGCAAAUUCGUCUAUGCCCCUGCAGUAUCUAGCUCUUUUGCCACAUAAGUUAACCCGAGCAGAAGAUUUACAAAAACAAAAAGAACCAUUAGGAAUUAUACAUAUAUUUCAAUAAGUAUACACAGUUGAUAAGUUACAUAAAGGAAAUGAUUUUCUUUAUGAAUUCUUUAGUAUCACUAGUUAUAGACCUUGUUUGAUCAAACUAACAAGGAUUUAGUCUCAGUACAAGAAAGUGAUUUGAGAGUACACUAAUCUUACAAGAAAAAAGAACUAUACAACCAAAGCUCGCUUACUUCAUUUCUUUCUCAGUGUGGACUUUCCGGUGUAGGAUGCGUAGUAACUUUAUGAAAAAAUGUUAACUAACAAUUUACAUGUAGAAAUUAGGUAAUAUUGCCUGUAAUGGGUGUUUGCUUUAAUUUUCAG